GUGAAACCCAUAGAACAAGAAAUCAAUCAUAAGCCUGUUCCAUUAAAAGUAUAUUUCUGCAAAGCUCUAGAGAAAGAAUUUAUCCAUGAAAAAAAAAAAUAUGAAUCUAAAUUGUAUCAAAGACUUCAAGACUCAUUUUAUGUAUGCUGCUGAUGAGCUUUUGAGGUCUAUGCGCUCCCUUUCUUCUAAUCUCCCCUGAUACCGGUAAGACCGUUCAUUCUCGAAAUCUAAUUGUGAUUCCUCCGAAAUCCCAUCUCCAUUUUCCAUUGAUCUAUCAUAAGCACGUUCGUUUACUCCACUAGAGUUACCAGUCUGAUUUCUCAUCGAACGAUGACAAUUUUGAGAUUUUAUUUCUUGAUAAUUUUCAUCAGCAUCAGCUUCAACACUAUCACUGCCUACUUUCUUGAUAUGCCCAUAUUUUUCUCUACAUGCCUCGAGUUCAGAAUCUUAAACCUUUAUCUCUUCCUCUCUUUUUAACAGGAAGUCUUUCAUUACUCGCAUAGCUUCCUAAUCGUAUUCGGCCUCCUCUUCCAUCAUUCUCUGGUACUGUAAGGCCUCCAUUUGGACGAUCGCCUUCUCUGCUUGCAGUCGAAUAAUCAUAGCCAUUGCAUUGUUCGCUGCAAUUGCAGAAGCACUUCAUUCUUCGUCCUGUUCCAAACGAACUUGUCUCUUUAAACAACUUAAAAUGUUGCUGUCUGGAGUAUUUCAACAACAUGGUUUCCAUUAUUUUCGACCCAAUUUCAGAUAAGGGAGCUGGAGAUGGUUUCAAUUUAGUGCCGCUUGAACAAUUUAGGGCAAAAAUUAUGGAAGGAAAAUUUGAGAGGGAAAUGCAAGGUAUUACCCGAUGAAAAUGGUCUUUCAAAAUGGGUAGACGGGUUUUAAUACAGAGAAAUGGGUUUUAAAAAUGGGCCGGGUCGAAGCCAUGGUGAAAAAUUCAAAUUUCAAACAAUUUUCAGCUUUGUGGCGCCACAAACUUUUUUUCUCUUUUUAAAAAAAAAAAAUCAAUUUCCACCUCAUUGUGUCAUUGUUUGUGUCAAGCUUUGUGGCUAUAUAGCAUUAUCCUUCUUGAAAUAUUAC
RNAcentral lists this long non-coding RNA (1077 nucleotides) under Olea europaea subsp. europaea. The record is from RNAcentral. Lineage: Eukaryota; Viridiplantae; Streptophyta; Magnoliopsida; Lamiales; Oleaceae.